Molecule: ribosomal RNA, 492 nt
Filed under: uncultured bacterium
Lineage: Bacteria
Description: partial 16S ribosomal RNA
Rfam family: Bacterial small subunit ribosomal RNA
Source: RNAcentral
AGUGAACGCUGGCGGUAGGCCUAACACAUGCAAGUCGAACGGCAGCACAGUAAGAGCUUGCUCUUACGGGUGGCGAGUGGCGGACGGGUGAGGAAUACAUCGGAAUCUACUUUUUCGUGGGGGAUAACGUAGGGAAACUUACGCUAAUACCGCAUACGACCUACGGGUGAAAGCAGGGGAUCUUCGGACCUUGCGCGAUUGAAUGAGCCGAUGUCGGAUUAGCUAGUUGGCGGGGUAAAGGCCCACCAAGGCGACGAUCCGUAGCUGGUCUGAGAGGAUGAUCAGCCACACUGGAACUGAGACACGGUCCAGACUCCUACGGGAGGCAGCAGUGGGGAAUAUUGGACAAAGGGCGCAAGCCUGAUCCAGCCAUACCGCGUGGGUGAAGAAGGCCUUCGGGUUGUAAAGCCCUUUUGUUGGGAAAGAAAAGCAGCAGGUUAAUACCCCGCUGUCCUGACGGUACCCAAAGAAUAAGCACCGGCUAACUUCGUG